AUUGAACGCUGGCGGCAGGCCUAACACAUGCAAGUCGAGCGGAUGAAGGGAACUUGCUCCUGGAUUCAGCGGCGGACGGGUGAGUAAUGCCUAGGAAUCUGCCUGGUUGUGGGGGAUAACGUCCGGACACGGGCGCUAAUACCGCAUACGUCCUGAGGGAGAAAGUGGGGGAUCUUCGGACCUCACGCUAUCAGGUGAGCCUAGGUCGGAUUAGCUAGUUGGUGGGGUAAAGGCCUACCAAGGCGACGAUCCGUAACUGGUCUGAGAGGAUGAUCAGUCACACUGGAACUGAGACACGGUCCAGACUCCUACGGGAGGCAGCAGUGGGGAAUAUUGGACAAUGGGCGCAAGCCUGAUCCAGCCAUGCCGCGUGGGUGAAGAAGGUCUUCGGAUUGUAAAGCACUUUAAGUUGGGAGGAAGGGCAGUAAGUUAAUACCUUGCUGUUUUGACGUUACCAACAGAAUAAGCACCGGCUAACUUCGUG
This 484-nucleotide ribosomal RNA is filed under the name uncultured bacterium. RNAcentral's name for it is "partial 16S ribosomal RNA". It matches the Rfam family "Bacterial small subunit ribosomal RNA", at positions 30 to 507 of the family's 1533-position model. The record is from RNAcentral.